GAUGAACGCUGACAGAAUGCUUAACACAUGCAAGUCAACUUGAACUUCGGUUUGGGUGGCGGACGGGUGAGUAACGCGUAAAGAACUUGCCUCACAGCUAGGGACAACAUUUGGAAACGAAUGCUAAUACCUGAUAUUAUGAUUAUAUGGCAUCGUAUAAUUAUGAAAGCUAUAUGCGCUGUGAGAGAGCUCUGCGUCCCAUUAGCUAGUUGGAGAGGUAACAGCUCACCAAGGCGAUGAUGGGUAGCCGGCCUGAGAGGGUGAUCGGCCACAAGGGGACGGAGACACGGCCCGUACUCCUACGGGAGGCAGCAGUGGGGAAUAUUGGACAAUGGACCGAGAGUCUGAUCCAGCAAUUCUGUGUGCACGAUGAAGUUUUUCGGAAUGUAAAGUGCUUUCAGUUGGGAAGAAAAAAAUGACGGUACCAACAGAAGAAGUGACGGCUAAAUACGUG
This 454-nucleotide ribosomal RNA is filed under the name uncultured bacterium. RNAcentral describes it as "partial 16S ribosomal RNA". It matches the Rfam family "Bacterial small subunit ribosomal RNA", at positions 28 to 507 of the family's 1533-position model. The record is from RNAcentral.